This is a long non-coding RNA of Uranotaenia lowii, 538 nucleotides long. RefSeq lists it as uncharacterized. The record is from RefSeq and is a predicted model, not a curated record. The transcript has 3 exons. Lineage: Eukaryota; Metazoa; Arthropoda; Insecta; Diptera; Culicidae.
GUUCGUUGCUGGAACUGACCACCCCAAAAAAAAAUUCCCUUCAGUUUUGCUUAUAGUUUUGUUUUGUUCCCAAACAAGUCGGUCACUUUCGAAAGAAUGGUCUGGAUUAUUGGAAGGAAUCGUUUGUUCACCAUACGUCUCUUCUUCGGAAGACGUGUCCAGCCCAUCUGUUUCAGUCGGGUUUGGAACAAUCUAACCUAAAUAUCGAAUAGAGCUGGCUGACCGGAAGUCCGGAACGUGGAAGAAUGUAUUCGGAAAAUCGGAACGUCUUCUUACUGUAACCGGGAGAACCAGUAAGCAUGUAUCGAUAUGCUGGGACCAUCCAAAAUAGACUGCAGUGCAGUGACUGAAUUAAUCGUCGGAAGAUUUUUGGAAACGAUUUAACAGUUCCGGUUACUACGAAGGUCUAUGAGGUUCCAGAUGACUGGCCGGAUUCAUCGUUCAGGGCAAUCCAACAUUUUCGAUCAGUUGCCUUCGUUGGCUUCUUACUCUUUUCAUCCAGACCGGCAAUCAUGAAUAAUAGUGCCUUCCGAUGGCU